This 421-nucleotide ribosomal RNA is filed under the name uncultured bacterium. Its description in RNAcentral is "partial 16S ribosomal RNA". It matches the Rfam family "Bacterial small subunit ribosomal RNA", at positions 355 to 768 of the family's 1533-position model. The record is from RNAcentral.
UGGGGAAUAUUGGACAAUGGGCGAAAGCCUGAUCCAGCCAUGCCGCGUGUGUGAAGAAGGUCUUCGGAUUGUAAAGCACUUUAAGUUGGGAGGAAGGGCAGUAAAUUAAUACUUUGCUGUUUUGACGUUACCGACAGAAUAAGCACCGGCUAACUCUGUGCCAGCGGCCGCGGUAAUACAGAGGGUGCAAGCGUUAAUCGGAAUUACUGGGCGUAAAGCGCGCGUAGGUGGUUCGUUAAGUUGGAUGUGAAAUCCCCGGGCUCAACCUGGGAACUGCAUUCAAAACUGACGAGCUAGAGUAUGGUAGAGGGUGGUGGAAUUUCCUGUGUAGCGGUGAAAUGCGUAGAUAUAGGAAGGAACACCAGUGGCGAAGGCGACCACCUGGACUGAUACUGACACUGAGGUGCGAAAGCGUGGGGGA